Molecule: ribosomal RNA, 383 nt
Filed under: uncultured bacterium
Lineage: Bacteria
Description: bacterial SSU rRNA
Rfam family: Bacterial small subunit ribosomal RNA
Source: RNAcentral
UAUUGGACAAUGGGCGCAAGCCUGAUCCAGCCAUGCCGCGUGCAGGAUGACGGUCCUAUGGAUUGUAAACUGCUUUUGUACAGGAAGAAACACUCCCUCGUGAGGGAGCUUGACGGUACUGUAAGAAUAAGGAUCGGCUAACUCCGUGCCAGCAGCCGCGGUAAUACGGAGGAUCCAAGCGAUAUCCGGAAUCAUUGGGUUUAAAGGGUCCGUAGGCGGUUUAAUAAGUCAGUGGUAAAGCCCAUCGCUCAACGGUGAACGGCCAUUGAUACUGUAAACUUAAUAUUAGGAAGAACUAGAAUAUGAGUGAGCGGUAAAUGCUAAGUACAUGAAUCCAAUUGCGAGGCAGGUUCUCAAAUGGUAGCGUGUGGCAAAUCGAUCUG